UCGUACGCUUAAACUUGCAAA
RNAcentral lists this non-coding RNA (21 nucleotides) under Caenorhabditis elegans. The record is from RNAcentral. Lineage: Eukaryota; Metazoa; Nematoda; Chromadorea; Rhabditida; Rhabditidae.